UCCCAAAAUCUUCAUUUGAUUGUCAAAAGUUUCCUAGCUUGAGUUCCUAUUCUCAUACAUCCACACAAGCUAGACUUUACUUUUUUGAUAAAGCCAAAAACAUUUUUUUCAUCAAGUAUCUCAUGAUGACCACUGUCCAUUCACCAUCCUUCAAGGACUUAACUGUCUAGUCUUUGCUUACUCAAUCACUGCUAUACAUCUGAUCACAAUCAAAGUAAAGUAUAAUGCAGAUAUGAGAGUGACUGCUCUGGUUGUACAAUACUAGGUUGGAAGGCUCCUGAGUUAUCCCUUUCCUCAUCAUUUGACCACAUGAAGAAAUGUGUAUUGCAUGUCUGCCAUCUUAGAGUAAGAAUAUACUUUUUUUUUAGUAUUUUUACUGAUGCAUCUUGCAUGUUGAACCCAGACGCUUGCUUGUUUCUAUUCAAUUCCAACUUUUAAUAGGAGGAUUAAUUAAAAGCAUGUAAAUCCAGGGAUAAGAUGUAUUAAUCUGGCAGUCCAAGAACUGAACUGAAAUGGCCUUUACAAUAUCUCAUUUUUUAAAUAAGUAGAUAACACUGAAUUGAACCGACACCAAAAAAACAAACUGGAGUCUCAUUUACUGCAUUUUACUUUUAUUUAAUCAGAAACUUUUUGAAUGCAUAGUGUAUUUAUAUCACCUUGAAAAUAAUAUAAAGCUUUAGACCUAUUCUUAAACUCAUACUUUUGGUUUAGAUUGUUGUAGUUGGCAUGCAAUUUUCAUGACUGUUAUGCUCUUGUUGUGCAUGUCCUUACUUAUAGAAGCUUGUGCAAUCAACCCAACUGAGCCUUAAUCCCUAACUAUUUGGGUCUUAGCGGCUUGUGUAGUUGGAUUGAUAAGUUUUGUAGUUUCCCUUCUUAGCAGGGCUCCACUUGCACCUUCAGGAUAAGCAAUGCCAUAUUUAGAAAUUCAGUUUUAUCCUGCACUUGUUUCAGUAUUUGUAUAAUCUGUGGUGUAAUCCUCACUCAUUCCUUUGCUUCAGCUACAACAUUAACUGGAACUAUGG
RNAcentral lists this unclassified non-coding RNA (1022 nucleotides) under Hevea brasiliensis (rubber tree). The record is from RNAcentral. Lineage: Eukaryota; Viridiplantae; Streptophyta; Magnoliopsida; Malpighiales; Euphorbiaceae.